GCAUUGUGGCCAGUAUACAUAUAAAUACAAGAAGUCCAUUAUCCAUACAUUUUCUGAUCCUCACAGACAUACAAACAUGAGAUUUUUUUGGUUUCUUCAGUGCCUCUUCUGUCUGGCCAUGCUUCUCAUCAACCCCUCUGUUUCUCCCAGAGCACCAGCUCCUCCUACAAGCCCAGACCCACUCCAUCCACUGCCACCCAAGGUCUCUGAUGGUUCACGGCCAUGAAGAAUUUCUUGAUAAGCUUAUAUAGUUAUAGUUAUAUAUAUAUAUAUAUAUAAAGUUUGGUUCUUCUACAUUUAUGUAAUAUCUCUUUCCUUCUAAACCUUUUCUGCUUGGGAUCACCAGAAAUAAGAAUAGUCCUACUCCAAUGUUUUUGACUA
This is a long non-coding RNA of Glycine soja, 381 nucleotides long. RefSeq lists it as uncharacterized. Lineage: Eukaryota; Viridiplantae; Streptophyta; Magnoliopsida; Fabales; Fabaceae. The record is from RefSeq and is a predicted model, not a curated record. The transcript is spliced from 2 exons.